AUUGAACGCUGGCGGCAGGCCUAACACAUGCAAGUCGAACGGUAACAGGAAACAGCUUGCUGUUUCGCUGACGAGUGGCGGACGGGUGAGUAAUGUCUGGGAAACUGCCUGAUGGAGGGGGAUAACUACUGGAAACGGUAGCUAAUACCGCAUAACGUCGCAAGACCAAAGGGGGGGACCCUCGGGCCUCUUGCCAUCGGAUGUGCCCAGAUGGGAUUAGCUUGUUGGUGGGGUAACGGCUCACCAAGGCGACGAUCCCUAGCUGGUCUGAGAGGAUGACCAGCCACACUGGAACUGAGACACGGUCCAGACUCCUACGGGAGGCAGCAGUGGGGAAUAUUGCACAAUGGGCGCAAGCCUGAUGCAGCCAUGCCGCGUGUAUGAAGAAGGCCUUCGGGUUGUAAAGUACUUUCAGCGGGGAGGAAGGGAGUAAAGUUAAUACCUUUGCUCAUUGACGUUACCCGCAGAAGAAGCACCGGCUAACUCCGUG
Molecule: ribosomal RNA, 490 nt
Filed under: uncultured bacterium
Lineage: Bacteria
Description: partial 16S ribosomal RNA
Rfam family: Bacterial small subunit ribosomal RNA
Source: RNAcentral